ACGCUGGCGGCGUGCCUAAUACAUGCAAGUAGAACGCUGAAGGAGGAGCUUGCUUCUCCGGAUGAGUUGCGAACGGGUGAGUAACGCGUAGGUAACCUGCCUGGUAGCGGGGGAUAACUAUUGGAAACGAUAGCUAAUACCGCAUAAGAGUAGAUGUUGCAUGACAUUUGCUUAAAAGGUGCAAUUGCAUCACUACCAGAUGGACCUGCGUUGUAUUAGCUAGUUGGUGGGGUAACGGCUCACCAAGGCGACGAUACAUAGUCGACCUGAGAGGGUGAUCGGCCACACUGGGACUGAGACACGGCCCAGACUCCUACGGGAGGCAGCAGUAGGGAAUCUUCGGCAAUGGACGGAAGUCUGACCGAGCAACGCCGCGUGAGUGAAGAAGGUUUUCGGAUCGUAAAGCUCUGUUGUAAGAGAAGAACGAGUGUGAGAGUGGAAAGUUCACACUGUGACGGUAUCUUACCAGAAAGGGACGGCUAACUACGUGCCAGCAGCCGCGGUAAUACGUAGGUCCCGAGCGUUGUCCGGAUUUAUUGGGCGUAAAGCGAGCGCAGGCGGUUAGAUAAGUCUGAAGUUAAAGGCUGUGGCUUAACCAUAGUACGCUUUGGAAACUGUUUAACUUGAGUGCAGGAGGGGAGAGUGGAAUUCCAUGUGUAGCGGUGAAAUGCGUAGAUAUAUGGAGGAACACCGGUGGCGAAAGCGGCUCUCUGGCUUGUAACUGACGCUGAGGCUCGAAAGCGUGGGGAGCAAACAGGAUUAGUUACCCUGGUAGUCCACGCCGUAAACGAUGAGUGCUAGGUGUUAGACCCUUUCCGGGGUUUAGUGCCGCAGCUAACGCAUUAAGCACUCCGCCUGGGGAGUACGACCGCAAGGUUGAAACUCAAAGGAAUUGACGGGGGGCCCCGCACAAGCGGU
Molecule: ribosomal RNA, 918 nt
Filed under: uncultured bacterium
Lineage: Bacteria
Description: bacterial SSU rRNA
Rfam family: Bacterial small subunit ribosomal RNA
Source: RNAcentral